UCGAGGAUCAUUCGCAAUGGGGGAAACCCUGACGGUGCGACGCCGCGUGGAGGAUGACGGCCUUCGGGUUGUAAACUCCUGUCAUCAGAGAGUAAAGCCGUGCGGUGAACAGCCGCGCGGUGUGAUAGUAUCUGAAGAGGAAGGGACGGCUAACUUCGUGCCAGCAGCCGCGGUAAUACGAAGGUCCCAAGCGUUGUUCGGAAUUACUGGGCGUAAAGCGUGUGUAGGCGGCAGGGUAAGUCAGAUGUGA
RNAcentral lists this ribosomal RNA (250 nucleotides) under uncultured bacterium. RNAcentral describes it as "partial 16S ribosomal RNA". It matches the Rfam family "Bacterial small subunit ribosomal RNA", at positions 355 to 597 of the family's 1533-position model. The record is from RNAcentral.